CCCUUAGAUGUUCUGGGCCGCACGCGUGCUACACUGAACGGUUCAAUGGGUGAGGUAGUGCGAAAGCAUGACCCAAUCUCAAAAUCCGUUCGUGCUGGGGAUAGAAGCUUGCAAUUCCCCUUCUUGAACGAGGAAUACCUUGUAAGCGCGAGUCAUCAUCUCGCGCUGAAUACGUCCCUGCCCUUUGUACACACCGCCCGUCGCUCCUACCGAUUGAGUGAUCCGGUGAGGCUUCGGGAGAGCUAAAUGGAUUGUGUUUCACAAACUAUUUGGCUUGAACUUAGUCAAACCUUACUACUUAGAGGAAGGAGAAGUCGUAACA
RNAcentral lists this ribosomal RNA (322 nucleotides) under uncultured eukaryote. RNAcentral's name for it is "partial 18S ribosomal RNA". It matches the Rfam family "Eukaryotic small subunit ribosomal RNA", at positions 1470 to 1796 of the family's 1831-position model. The record is from RNAcentral.